GAUGAACGCUGGCGGCGUGCUUAACACAUGCAAGUCGAACGGAAAGGCCCUGCUUUUGUGGCGUUCUCGAGUGGCGAACGGGUGAGUAACACGUGAGUAACCCGCCCUUGUCUUUGGGAUAACUUCAGGAAACUGGGGCUAAAACCGGAUAGGAGCUCCUGAUGCAUGGAGGGGGUUGGAAAGUUUCGGCGGUUGGGGCUGGACUCGCGGGUUAGCGGCUUGUUGGGCGGGUUGGGGAUGACGAAGGCUUUGACGGGUAGGCGGCGUGAGAGGGGGGCGGGCCACCUUGGGACUACGCUACGGCCCAGACUCCUACGGGAGGCAGCGGUGGGGAAUAUUGCGCAAUGGGCGGAAGCCUGAUGCAGCAACGCCGCGUGCGGGAUGACGGCCUUCGGGUUAAAAACCGCUUUGGCCGGUGACGAAGCGUGAGUGACGGUACUGGAUAAAGAAGCACCGGCUAACUACGUG
Molecule: ribosomal RNA, 468 nt
Filed under: uncultured bacterium
Lineage: Bacteria
Description: partial 16S ribosomal RNA
Rfam family: Bacterial small subunit ribosomal RNA
Source: RNAcentral